CUCUUGAGAGCGGCGGACGGGUGAGUAAUGCCUAGGAAUCUGCCUGGUAGUGGGGGAUAACGUUCGGAAACGGACGCUAAUACCGCAUACGUCCUACGGGAGAAAGCAGGGGACCUUCGGGCCUUGCGCUAUCAGAUGAGCCUAGGUCGGAUUAGCUAGUUGGUGGGGUAAUGGCUCACCAAGGCGACGAUCCGUAACUGGUCUGAGAGGAUGAUCAGCCACACCGGGACUGAGACACGGCCCGGACUCCUACGGGAGGCAGCAGUGGGGAAUAUUGGACAAUGGGGGAAACCCUGAUCCAGCCAUGCCGCGUGUGUGAAGAAGGCCUUUUGGUUGUAAAGCACUUUAAGCAGUGAAGAAGACUCUUCGGUUAAUACCCGGAGACGAUGACAUUAGCUGCAGAAUAAGCACCGGCUAACUCUGUGCCAGCAGCCGCGGUAAUACAGAGGGUGCAAGCGUUAAUCGGAAUUACUGGGCGUAAAGGGAGCGUAGGUGGCUCGAUAAGUCAGAUGUGAAAUCCCCGGGCUCAACCUGGGA
This 537-nucleotide ribosomal RNA is filed under the name uncultured Pseudomonadales bacterium. RNAcentral describes it as "bacterial SSU rRNA". It matches the Rfam family "Bacterial small subunit ribosomal RNA", at positions 86 to 619 of the family's 1533-position model. The record is from RNAcentral. Lineage: Bacteria; Pseudomonadati; Pseudomonadota; Gammaproteobacteria; Pseudomonadales.